This 65-nucleotide transfer RNA is filed under the name Rattus norvegicus (Norway rat). It matches the Rfam family "tRNA". Rfam says of the family: Transfer RNA (tRNA) molecules are approximately 80 nucleotides in length. Their secondary structure includes four short double-helical elements and three loops (D, anti-codon, and T loops). Further hydrogen bonds mediate the characteristic L-shaped molecular structure. tRNAs have two regions of fundamental functional importance: the anti-codon, which is responsible for specific mRNA codon recognition, and the 3' end, to which the tRNAs corresponding amino acid is attached (by aminoacyl-tRNA synthetases). tRNAs cope with the degeneracy of the genetic code in two manners: having more than one tRNA (with a specific anti-codon) for a particular amino acid; and 'wobble' base-pairing, i.e. permitting non-standard base-pairing at the 3rd anti-codon position. Lineage: Eukaryota; Metazoa; Chordata; Mammalia; Rodentia; Muridae. The record is from Rfam by way of RNAcentral.
GAUUUAGCUCAGUGGUAGAGCGCUUGCCUAGCAAGCACAAGGCCCUGGGUUCAGUUCCCAGAUCA